CUCUGUCAGAACCGGGACCUGACAGUGGGGACACAUCAUCUGGCCGGGAGGUGGAGUUAAUCAGGAGCAUCCAGGCUCUGUUGAAGAGAACGCUGAGUCAGGCUGUCAAUCAAAUCAAGAACAGAACGUACAUAAACCAAAAAUCAACUCGCUGAUGGGACGUUCCAUUAUAAGGAGAGUGGCCAGCUCCAAGG
Oncorhynchus gorbuscha (pink salmon) is the source of this 194-nucleotide long non-coding RNA. RefSeq lists it as uncharacterized. The transcript has 3 exons. Lineage: Eukaryota; Metazoa; Chordata; Actinopteri; Salmoniformes; Salmonidae. The record is from RefSeq and is a predicted model, not a curated record.